Molecule: ribosomal RNA, 464 nt
Filed under: uncultured bacterium
Lineage: Bacteria
Description: partial 16S ribosomal RNA
Rfam family: Bacterial small subunit ribosomal RNA
Source: RNAcentral
CUACGGGAUGCAGCAGUGGGGAAUCUUGGACAAUGGGGGCAACCCUGAUCCAGCCAUGCCGCGUGGGUGAAGAAGGCUCGCGGGUUGUAAAGCCCUUUCAGCAGGGAAGAAAAGCCUCGGGAUAAUACCCCGGGGUCUUGACGUAACCUGCAGAAGAAGCACCGGCUAACUCCGUGCCAGCAGCCGCGGUAAUACGGAGGGUGCGAGCGUUAAUCGGAAUUACUGGGCGUAAAGCGCGCGUAGGUGGCCUGUUAAGUCGGAUGUGAAAGCCCCGGGCUUAACCUGGGAACUGCAUUCGAUACUGGCAGGCUCGAGUGUGGUAGAGGGAAGCGGAAUUCCCGGUGUAGCGGUGAAAUGCGUAGAUAUCGGGAGGAACAUCAGUGGCGAAGGCGGCUUCCUGGACCAACACUGACACUGAGGUGCGAAAGCGUGGGUAGCAAACAGGAUUAGAUACCCUUGUAGUC